This 253-nucleotide ribosomal RNA is filed under the name uncultured bacterium. Its description in RNAcentral is "partial 16S ribosomal RNA". It matches the Rfam family "Bacterial small subunit ribosomal RNA", at positions 524 to 776 of the family's 1533-position model. The record is from RNAcentral.
GACAGAGGGUGCAAACGUUGUUCGGAAUUACUGGGCGUAAAGGGCGCGUAGGCGGCUUUUCAAGUCGGGCGUGAAAUCUCCGGGCUUAACCCGGAAGGGUCGUUCGAUACUGUUGAGCUAGAGUGUGGAAGAGGCAACUAGAAUUCCGUGUGUAGCGGUGAAAUGCGUAGAUAUACGGAGGAAUACCUGAGGCGAAGGCGGGUUGCUGGGCCAACACUGACGCUGAGGCGCGAAAGCCAGGGGAGCAAACGGG